CCUGCCCCAGAAGCGCUGCAGCUGUGGUUGCUGUGUCACAUGUGUGUCAGGCAGGUGGCAGAGAGGAGAGAGGCUGUGUGUAGUCUCAGAAUUCUGAUCUAUGAACAUCUGAAUGGUCAGUAGCCUAGAAUU
Molecule: small nucleolar RNA, 132 nt
Organism: Meriones unguiculatus (Mongolian gerbil)
Lineage: Eukaryota; Metazoa; Chordata; Mammalia; Rodentia; Muridae
Source: Ensembl